GGAUGAACGCUGGCGGCGUGCUUAACACAUGCAAGUCGAACGGAAAGGCCAGUGCUUGCACUGGUACUCGAGUGGCGAACGGGUGAGUAACACGUGGGUGAUCUGCCCUGUACUUCGGGAUAAGCUUGGGAAACUGGGUCUAAUACCGGAUAGGACAACUUUUUGGAUAUUGUUGUGGAAAGCUUUUGCGGUAUGGGAUGAGCUCGCGGCCUAUCAGCUUGUUGGUGGGGUAAUGGCCUACCAAGGCGUCGACGGGUAGCCGRCCUGAGAGGGUGUACGGCCACAUUGGGACUGAGAUACGGCCCAGACUCCUACGGGAGGCAGCAGUGGGGAAUAUUGCACAAUGGGCGCAAGCCUGAUGCAGCGACGCCGCGUGGGGGAUGAAGGCCUUCGGGUUGUAAACUCCUUUCGCUAGGGACGAAGCGCAAGUGACGGUACCUGGAGAAGAAGCACCGGCUAACUACGU
Molecule: ribosomal RNA, 466 nt
Filed under: Corynebacteriaceae bacterium 'ARUP UnID 266'
Lineage: Bacteria; Bacillati; Actinomycetota; Actinomycetes; Mycobacteriales; Corynebacteriaceae
Description: bacterial SSU rRNA
Rfam family: Bacterial small subunit ribosomal RNA
Source: RNAcentral